CCGUCUCAAUGUUCACCGCCUGAUCAGCGGUGCCCAGAGCAGCGAGACGGACACAAGUUAAUAUCGUCAACCCACUGGGACGGUUGGCCAGUUAAGAAGUGAGGAUUCAUUCUUAUGGCCAAUUAUUAUGGGAUGUCCUGCGUGGAUUCUCA
Molecule: non-coding RNA, 152 nt
Filed under: unclassified sequences
Description: DUF2800 RNA
Rfam family: DUF2800 RNA
About the family: Actinobacteria, Firmicutes, Synergistetes (1 example). Terminator (Clostridia)
Source: RNAcentral